AAGAAAUCUAAGCCCAGCCUGAAGGUGGAUGCAAAGAUUGGCCAUUAACCGUAUUUCAUCUUCGACCCUCCACGUCUUAACCUGACGAUAACACGGGGAUGCACUUCAACUGGACGACGGGCCGUGAGGGUCGCUGCUUUUGCCUUCUGUGCUUGAAGCUCCUUCAGUCAUCGUGCAAGUGAAGGCUAAGAGAGGAGAAGUUUUAAUGUUGAAGUUGGCGGGGUGUGACAUGCAGAUGAAUGCCAUU
This 247-nucleotide unclassified non-coding RNA is filed under the name Acanthaster planci (crown-of-thorns starfish). Its description in RNAcentral is "trace amine-associated receptor 7e-like, transcript variant X2". The record is from RNAcentral. Lineage: Eukaryota; Metazoa; Echinodermata; Asteroidea; Valvatida; Acanthasteridae.